UCUAGCAACUCAAGAUGGCGGACGAGAGUGAGACAGCAGUGAAGCCGCCGGCACCUCUGCUGCCGCAGAUGAUGGAAGGGAAGGGAAACGGCCAUGAACACUGCAGCGAUUGAGAGAACGAGGAAGACAACAGCUACAACCGGGGUGGUUUGAGUCCAGCCAAUGACACUGGAGCCAAAAAGAAGAAAAAGAAACAAUAAAAGAAGAAAGAAAAAGGCAGUGAGACAGAUUCAGCCCAGGAUCAGCCUGUGAAGAUGAACUCCUUGCCAGCAGAGAGGAUCCAGGAAAUACAGAAGGCCAUUGAGCUGUUCUCAGUGGGUCAGGGACCUGCCAAAACCAUGGAGGAGGCUAGCAAACGAAGCUACCAGUUCUGGGAUACGCAGCCCGUCCCCAUACUGGGCGAAGUGGUGAACACCCACGGUCCCGUGGAACCUGACAAAGACAACAUCCGCCAGGAGCCCUAUACCCUGCCCCAGGGCUUCACCUGGGAUGCCUUGGACCUGGGGACCGUGGUGUGCUAAAAGAACUAUAUACCCUCCUGAAUGAGAACUAUGUGGAAGAUGAUGACAACAUGUUCCGAUUUGAUUAUUCCCCAGAAUUUCUUUUGUGGGCUCUCCGGCCACCUGGCUGGCUCCCCGAGUGGCACUGCGGGGUUCGAGUGGUUUCAAGUCGGAAACUGGUUGGGUUUAUUAGCGCCAUCCCAGCAAACAUCCACGUCUAUGACACAGAGAAGAAGAUGGUGGAGAUUAACUUCCUGUGUGUACACAAGAAGCUGCGCUCCAAGAGGGUGGCUCCAGUCCUGAUCCGAGAGAUAACCAGGCGGGUUCACCUGGAGGGCAUUUUCCAAGCUGUUUACACUGCCGGUGUGGUACUACCAAAGCCUGUUGGCACCUGCAGGUACUGGCAUCGGUCCCUACACCCACGGAAGUUGAUUGAAGUGAAGUUCUCCCACCUGAGCAGAAAUAUGACCAUGCAGCAUACCAUGAAGCUCUACCGACUGCCAGAGACUCCCAAGACAGCUGGGCUGCGACCAAUGGAAAAAGAAGGACAUUCCAGUAGUGCACCAGCUCCUCACCAGGUACUUGAAGCAGUUUCACCUCACGCCAGUCAUGAACCAGGAGGAGGUAGAACACUGGUUCUUCCCCCAGGAGAAUAUCAUCGACACUUUCGUGGUGGAGAAUGCAAAUGGAGAGGUGACGGAUUUCCUGAGUUUUUAUACACUUCCCUCCACCAUCAUGAACCAUCCAACCCACAAGAGUCUAAAAGCUGCUUAUUCUUUCUACAACGUGCACACCCAGACCCCUCUUCUAGACCUCAUGAGCGACGCCCUUGUUCUCGCCAAAAUGAAAGGGUUUGACGUGUUCAAUGCACUGGAUCUCAUGGAGAACAAAACUUUCCUGGAGAAGCUCAAAUUUGGCAUUGGGGACGGCAACCUGCAGUAUUACCUUUACAAUUGGAAAUGCCCCAGCAUGGGGGCAGAGAAGGUGGGGCUGGUGCUACAAUAACCAGUUGCCAGUGACAUUCUGGAUAAAGCCACUGAGAAUUCCAACCAGGAAAUGGAACCCCACAAAUUGGUCCAAUUUUCACAAACGUGAGAAUCCCUGGCAAAGGGAACAGAGCUGAACCGCUUUACCAAACCGCCAGCGAACUUGACAAUGUAUUGCAAUGGCGUGGGCUGCGUGACGUCACCUUUGGCUGUGUCUCUGGUCUCCCUGUUUUCCAGUUAAUCACAUCCUCAUGCAGCCAUGAUCAAGGGAAUGUAACUGCUGAAAACUAGCUCGUGAUUGGCUUAUUAUGGAGUUAACGGGUGAAUAAUAAAAGUAUAUAUAUGUUAUA
Microcebus murinus (gray mouse lemur) is the source of this 1836-nucleotide non-coding RNA. The record is from RefSeq and is a predicted model, not a curated record. NCBI's taxonomy places the organism in Eukaryota, Metazoa, Chordata, Mammalia, Primates, Cheirogaleidae.